UGGGGAAUAUUGCACAAUGGAGGAAACUCUGAUGCAGCGAUGCCGCGUGAGGGAAGAAGGUUUUAGGAUUGUAAACCUCUGUCUUCAGGGACGAAAAAAGGACGGUACCUGAGGAGGAAGCUCCGGCUAACUACGUGCCAGCAGCCGCGGUAAUACGUAGGGAGCGAGCGUUGUCCGGAAUUACUGGGUGUAAAGGGAGCGUAGGCGGGAUCGCAAGUCAGAUGUGAAAACUAUGGGCUCAACCCAUAAACUGCAUUUGAAACUGUAGAGCUUGAGUGAAGUAGAGGCAGGCGGAAUUCCCCGUGUAGCGGUGAAAUGCGUAGAGAUGGGGAGGAACACCAGUGGCGAAGGCGGCCUGCUGGGCUUUAACUGACGCUGAGGCACGAAAGCGUGGGUAGCAAACAGGAUUAGAUACCCUGGUAGUCCACGCUGUAAACGAUGAUUACUAGGUGUGGGGGGUCUGACCCCUUCCGUGCCGGAGUUAACACAAUAAGUAAUCCACCUGGGGAGUACGGCCGCAAGGUUGAAACUCAAAGGAAUUGACGGGGGCCCGCACAAGCAGUGGAGUAUGUGGUUUAAUUCGAAGCAACGCGAAGAACCUUACCAGGUCUUGACAUCCAACUAACGAAGUAGAGAUACAUUAGGUGCCCUUCGGGGAAAGUUGAGACAGGUGGUGCAUGGUUGUCGUCAGCUCGUGUCGUGAGAUGUUGGGUUAAGUCCCGCAACGAGCGCAACCCUUGCUAUUAGUUGCUACGCAAGAGCACUCUAAUAGGACUGCCGUUGACAAAACGGAGGAAGGUGGGGACGACGUCAAAUCAUCAUGCCCCUUAUGACCUGGGCUACACACGUACUACAAUGGAUGUUAACAGAGGGAAGCAAGACAGCGAUGUGGAGCAAACCCCUAAAAACAUUCUCAGUUCAGAUUGCAGGCUGCAACCCGCCUGCAUGAAGAUGGAAUUGCUAGUAAUCGCGGAUCAGCAUGCCGCGGUGAAUACGUUCCC
This 1001-nucleotide ribosomal RNA is filed under the name uncultured organism. Its description in RNAcentral is "bacterial SSU rRNA". It matches the Rfam family "Bacterial small subunit ribosomal RNA", at positions 355 to 1375 of the family's 1533-position model. The record is from RNAcentral.